This 600-nucleotide ribosomal RNA is filed under the name uncultured bacterium. RNAcentral describes it as "bacterial SSU rRNA". It matches the Rfam family "Bacterial small subunit ribosomal RNA", at positions 76 to 679 of the family's 1533-position model. The record is from RNAcentral.
UUGCUUCUUGGGUGACGAGCGGCGGACGGGUGAGUAAUGCAUAGGAAUCUGCCCGAUAGUGGGGGAUAACCUGGGGAAACCCAGGCUAAUACCGCAUACGUCCUACGGGAGAAAGGGGGCUCCGGCUCCCGCUAUGGGAUGAGCCUAUGUCGGAUUAGCUAGUUGGUGAGGUAACGGCUCACCAAGGCAACGAUCCGUAGCUGGUCUGAGAGGAUGAUCAGCCACAUCGGGACUGAGACACGGCCCGAACUCCUACGGGAGGCAGCAGUGGGGAAUAUUGGACAAUGGGCGCAACCCUGAUCCAGCCAUGCCGCGUGUGUGAAGAAGGCCCUCGGGUUGUAAAGCACUUUCAGCGAGGAAGAACGCCUAGCGGUUAAUACCCGCUAGGAAAGACAUCACUCGCAGAAGAAGCACCGGCUAACUCCGUGCCAGCAGCCGCGGUAAUACGGAGGGUGCAAGCGUUAAUCGGAAUUACUGGGCGUAAAGCGCGCGUAGGUGGCUUGAUAAGCCGGUUGUGAAAGCCCCGGGCUCAACCUGGGAACGGCAUCCGGAACUGUCAAGCUAGAGUGCAGGAGAGGAAGGUAGAAUUCCCGGUGUAGC